AUUGAACGCUGGCGGCAGGCCUAACACAUGCAAGUCGAAUGGUAACAGGAAACAUCUUGCUGUUUCGCUGACGAGUGGCGGACGGGUGAGUAAUGUCUGGGAAACUGCCUGAUGGAGGGGGAUAACUACUGGAAACGGUAGCUAAUACCGCAUAACGUCGCAAGACCAAAGAGGGGGACCUUCGGGCCUCUUGCCAUCAGAUGUGCCCAGAUGGGCGUAGCUAGUAGGUGGGGUAACGGCUCACCUAGGCGACGAUCCCUAGCUGGUCUGAGAGGAUGACCGGCCACACUGGAACUGAGACACGGUCCAGACUCCUACGGGAGGCAGCAGUGGGGAAUAUUGGGCAAUGGGCGCAAGCCUGAUGCAGCCAUGCCGCGUGUAUGAAGAAGGCCUUCGGGUUGUAAAGUACUUUCAGCGGGGAGGAAGGGAGUAAAGUUAAUACCUUUGCUCAUUGACGUUACCCGCAGAAGAAGCACCGGCUAACUCCGUG
Molecule: ribosomal RNA, 490 nt
Filed under: uncultured bacterium
Lineage: Bacteria
Description: partial 16S ribosomal RNA
Rfam family: Bacterial small subunit ribosomal RNA
Source: RNAcentral